This 477-nucleotide ribosomal RNA is filed under the name Triticum aestivum (bread wheat). RNAcentral's name for it is "partial small subunit ribosomal RNA". The record is from RNAcentral. Lineage: Eukaryota; Viridiplantae; Streptophyta; Magnoliopsida; Poales; Poaceae.
GGCCCCCACGGCAGCCCCUACGCCGGCGGCACGUUCCCCGUCGACGUCGCCUACCCCAAGGACUACCCCUUCAAGCCCAUCAAGCUCACCUUCAAAACUAAGGUGUACCAUCCCAACAUCGGCCCGGAGGGGAAGAUGGCGCUGGACAUCUUCGGGAGGGGGUGGUGGCCUUCUCUCACGAUAAGGACGGUCCUCCUGUCCGUCGUCUCCGUCCUCUACGACCCCCUGCUCGACCUCCCCGUCCGCCACGACGCCUCCCGGCUGUACAAGCGCGAGCGGGGUCUCUUCGAGCAGAAGGCCAGGCGCUGGACUCGCAGGUACGCCUCGGCGCCGGCCGUCUCCUUCUAUCCGGCAGGGACCGAGCUGUUCGAGGAGCAGCUGGAGGAGGCGGCGACCAGUGGGGCAGUGGCACGCCGUCGUUCUUGUGGAGCAGGGAAAUGGCGUUUCUUCGGGGGCCGCCGCCUCGGCGCCAUCUAG